AAACACUGUCUUUGAACCUCAUGUCUUGUUUGUAGCUUCACUGGCCAAGCAACAGUGCUAGAGAAUAAGGACUUGUUGUAACUGGGGCUCUUCAGCUCUCAACUGCUCUAUUACAAACCUCAAUGUCCAGCU
This 132-nucleotide small nucleolar RNA is filed under the name Amazona guildingii. RNAcentral also lists the same sequence under 1 other name. Lineage: Eukaryota; Metazoa; Chordata; Aves; Psittaciformes; Psittacidae. The record is from RNAcentral.